This 440-nucleotide ribosomal RNA is filed under the name uncultured bacterium. Its description in RNAcentral is "partial 16S ribosomal RNA". It matches the Rfam family "Bacterial small subunit ribosomal RNA", at positions 338 to 795 of the family's 1533-position model. The record is from RNAcentral.
CCUACGGGUGGCAGCAGUGGGGGAUAUUGCACAAUGGGGGAAACCCUGAUGCAGCGACGCCGCGUGGGGGAAGAAGGUCCUCUGGAUUGUAAACCACUGUCGCCAGGGACGAAGAUGACGGUACCGGGGGAGGAAGCUCCGGCUAACUACGUGCCAGCAGCCGCGGUAAUAAGCAGGGAGCGAGCGUUGUCCGGAAUGACUGGGUGAAAGGGGUGCGUAGGCGGGGAUGCAAGUUGGGUGUAAAAACUACCGGCUCAACUGGUAGUCGCACUCGAAACUGCAGCUCUUGAGUGCAGUAGAGGCAGGCGGAAUGCCUAGUGUAGCGGUGAAAUGCGUAGAUAUUAGGAGGAACACCAGUGGCGAAGGCGGCCUGCUGGGCUUUUACUGACGCUGAGGCUCGAAAGUGUGGGGAGCAAACAGGAUUAGAUACCCCUGUAGUC